RNAcentral lists this non-coding RNA (31 nucleotides) under Homo sapiens (human). The record is from RNAcentral. Lineage: Eukaryota; Metazoa; Chordata; Mammalia; Primates; Hominidae.
UGGUCCUUUUGUCAAGCCUGAGCUGCUGUGU